Long non-coding RNA from Saccostrea echinata, 225 nucleotides. RefSeq lists it as uncharacterized. The transcript is spliced from 3 exons. The record is from RefSeq and is a predicted model, not a curated record. NCBI's taxonomy places the organism in Eukaryota, Metazoa, Mollusca, Bivalvia, Ostreida, Ostreidae.
CCCAAAGCUGGUUUGGCAGACGAUGCAUGAUCACAAUGCAGAGAGAAUGUCAAUUGGCUUAAAGAAAGAUUUAGCAUCAACCCCUGGAUUUCUUUUAAGGAUACAGAAGUACAGGAGAUGCUCAGCAAUCUGGCAAAGAAGGCUGGCUGGACAUGAAAUGUUAUGGGGGUUAUGUCUAGCUUUGGAUCCACUGAAUUCACAUAUUACAGAAAUCGGAUCAGAGCA